Long non-coding RNA from Camelus dromedarius (Arabian camel), 466 nucleotides. RefSeq lists it as uncharacterized. NCBI's taxonomy places the organism in Eukaryota, Metazoa, Chordata, Mammalia, Artiodactyla, Camelidae. The transcript has 4 exons. The record is from RefSeq and is a predicted model, not a curated record.
GCUCCACAAAAAUGUAUGACCGGGCUUGAGCAAAGGACUUGAGCACAAAUGCGGUGAGCCUGUCCAGCAAAGAAGACACUGAGACAUGAGGACCAUCUCACUUUCAAAGCGUGCCAAGUGCAGUCGGCUCCAGAAGAAGGUUGGUUUCCUCCAACGUAAGAAAUAGUCUCCUCUUGCUAAAAUGUUCAAGAUUUGACAAUUUGAGAGAAAAAACAGGAAAUCCGGAAAGUACUUACACUCUCCUUGCUCAAUGGACAACGCAUGGGUUCCUGAUUGCGCGAUGCUUCCUCUUGCUUUGAUCUGAAGACGGAGGGAAAGACAUUCAUUAUCAUUUUAAAAGGCUCCCUUUGUGGUUCCCUCUGGCAGCUGGAGGUGUCCUUGCAAGUUCUCAUCUAUCCAUCCCCACCAGAGCUUCAGGAGGACGGAUGGGCUUGUCUGUCUGGACAAAGCUGAGGCUUUCCGCUUU